This 438-nucleotide ribosomal RNA is filed under the name uncultured bacterium. Its description in RNAcentral is "bacterial SSU rRNA". It matches the Rfam family "Bacterial small subunit ribosomal RNA", at positions 71 to 507 of the family's 1533-position model. The record is from RNAcentral.
AGUCACUCGAGUUUGAUGGCGACCGGCGCACGGGUGAGUAACGCGUAUCCAACCUACCCUUGUCCAUCGGAUAACCCGUCGAAAGGCGGCCUAACACGAUAUGCGGUUCUCCAGCAGGCAUCUAACGAGAACGAAAUGUGAAGGAGAAGGAUGGGGAUGCGUCUGAUUAGCUUGUUGGCGGGGUAACGGCCCACCAAGGCGACGAUCAGUAGGGGGUUCGUGAGAGGAAGGUCCCCCACAUUGGAACUGAGACACGGUCCAAACUCCUACGGGAGGCAGCAGUGAGGAAUAUUGGUCAAUGGACGGGAGUCUGAACCAGCCAAGUAGCGUGCAGGAUGACGGCCCUAUGGGUUGUAAACUGCUUUUAUAGGGGGAGUAAAGUGUGCCACGUGUGGCAUAUUGCAGGUACCCUAUGAAUAAGGACCGGCUAAUUCCGUG